UUGCACCUUUUUUAUUUUUCUUCUUUUAAAUACCUAACCUUUAGUUUUUGUCUGGAAUUUAUCCGGCGACCGGUUUUUUCUUACGCCGGCGUCGGAAAUGCCACUGUGGCAGUCGGAAUCGACGAGGUGGCAGCCGGAAUUCUCCACUUGGCUCAUUUUUUACAUGUGGCAAAAAAAUCUAAAAAAAAUGAAAUAAAAAUACAUGUGGAAAUAAAAAUUUAAAAAAAAGGAAAAAAAAAGAAAAUCAACCCCCUUCCCCCCCAAUCAUCAUUUCCCUCACCCCAAACCCUAACUCUCCCUCUCCCCACCCGGCGCCGCCCCCUGCCACCUCCACCACCGCCGGCGCCGCCACCCGCAGCCACCACCACCAACGUUCUACCGCCUGGAGCAACGGAAGAAGCUCCAGAUCUCGAUCAAGCUCCACCCGCCGCCGUCC
This 436-nucleotide long non-coding RNA is filed under the name Salvia miltiorrhiza (redroot sage). RNAcentral's name for it is "long non-coding RNA (SMIL_LNC009146)". Lineage: Eukaryota; Viridiplantae; Streptophyta; Magnoliopsida; Lamiales; Lamiaceae. The record is from RNAcentral.